This is a long non-coding RNA of Vidua macroura (Pin-tailed whydah), 346 nucleotides long. RefSeq lists it as uncharacterized. NCBI's taxonomy places the organism in Eukaryota, Metazoa, Chordata, Aves, Passeriformes, Viduidae. The transcript has 3 exons. The record is from RefSeq and is a predicted model, not a curated record.
GGAAGGAGAGGCUGUGCAGAAGGAAGCAUUUCCCAGAGGAAGCAGUGAUUCUGUGCCAGCCUCUGCUGCAGGAAGGGAGGCGAUGCCAGGCACAGUCACUGGAGAUGAGGUUGAUGGGAAGGCUCCUCCAUUAGCUUGGCUGAAUGAAGUUCUGAAGCCCUUGGAGCCUCCUGCAGCUGUGUCUGCAGGGAGGAAUUUUCCUGCCCCUUUGCUGAUUGCUCCACGCAAGCCUGGCUCCCUUCGCAGGGGUGAGUAGUGUGUCCCUGCUGACCCCACAAGCUGUGCACUGGUUUUGUGGCAUCCAGUCCUGGGAAAUGGAACUACUUUCUGUUAAGGUCCUCCGAGA